UAUUUUACAAUUUUGUAAAAUUGAAAGUGUUUAAAUAGAGGUAAAGCUUAUUAUUAUGUACAGUUAGAUUAGAAAAUAAUAAAACAUUAUUUAUUGUCGAAAACUGGUAAUGACAAUUAUAAAGUAUAGAGGUAGAUUGUAGUGUAUUUGUAUCUAAAUAUUAUUUUAAAAGUAAAUAUAAAUUGAAAUAGAUCUGAUCUCAUUCUAGAAAAAAAAAUUGAAUCUUUCUUUAAUAAAAUAAAACAACUAAGCGCAGAUAUUUAGAAAUUGAAUGAGUGAACAAAUCAUAUAAACCCAAACAUUAUUCUAUCAAAAAAAUUCAAGUAUAUACAUUUUUAAAUAAGUUCAAAUCAUUUCAAAGAUUAAUAUUCCUAAACAAGAAAAUCAAAAUGAGAAUUUUCUUUGUGAAAGUUAAAUUUUGUGUUAGUAAAAAAAGUUAUAAUUUUGUUGAUCAGGAAAAAAAAAUGAUAAAAUAAUAAGGUGAAAAGAAAUAUAAGGGAAAAGACAAAGAAGAUGGAUGACCAGAUAAGUUAGAUAGCCGUCCGCCGACCUACAACGUACGCAUCAAAACAAAGCCUCACAAGUCCCUUCUUCCCAAAUCCAUAACUAUUUGGACAUGUUAGUUUCAACUAUGGUUUAAUUCGGUCUGCUUUCCGUGUGACCAGGAGUCGUAAGUCGAAACUGCGUAGUGGUGUUUUUUACAUGAAACUUAAACUUGGUUAUUGUCCAACGUGAGAAACUAGAAAUAUACUAUCACCUUAUUGUCACACCACGAUUUGAAUUUGAUAUCUAAUCUGUUUACAUUAAAAAUAUUUAUGAGGGGGAUGGUGAUGUAUGCAACUAAAGCAUGGAUUGAUAUGAAGAGGGAGUAGCUCAGAUAUUGACGUAACGAUGUUUCGUUUCUUCUGAUGGAGAAUCAAAGCCCAUUCCUCAAUAAGCCUUACACCAACGUCUUGUCACUCCAGAUUAUACCAAACCCAUCCUUCUUUACCAUUAUUUGUUUAUUGAAUUACCUCAAAUAUUCUCAGUUUAUUUCACAAUUUUAGACAAUUUUUAUUUAGGUUUUGAAAUUAUAUAACUGGUUCAACGUGUGGGUAGUUUUUAACACGAUGUCAGAACCGCAGCAACUCUUGACUCAAAGUACGUGAAUGUUUUGUUUUCUAGUAUCUAUUCUGUUCCAUGCUGUAUUUAACAACGAAUCAUAAAGAAAGGUGUAACGUAGUAAUGUUCAAUGAAUAUAAGAUAGUCCAGCCGUAUUUAAAGCAUUGUCCACUUUUGUAAGUUUAUUUGAGUUAAGAGAGAUCGCGUUGAACUUGAAGUUUGAAUAGGUAUUUAUUCUAUUUUUUUUCUCGUCCUAAUAAUUUGAAUAAAUUAUUUAUCGGACUUACGUCUUAAUGGGGUUUAAAUUUAUAAGAAACUACGUAUACGUCUCUUUGUAUUGUAAGCUCGAAAGGGAAAGUCCAUGCUCUUAGUUUUGGUAUUUUCCUUCGUAAUUUUCUGCUUCAUUCAAUUUUUGAAAUACAAGAAGCUUUUAUAUAAUACGUCUUCAUCGUUGGCAGAGCGAUUUAACCAAAUUUAUUUAUUUUAAUGUUUUCUGCCUUCUGUUAUUAUCUUAUGAUUUGCUAUCAAAUUCGAACUUUAAAAAAUGUGUCUGCUGGGUACAUUGGAUGAUUUUAGGAUUUUAAAAUAACUUUGAUUCAUAGUUGUGAGUUCGCGUCCAUUACCUAGCGUUUUCAUGCAUUAUAUUAAUUCCUUGACGGUGCAUAUAGCUAAACGACUGCGUCAUAUAAUUAAAAUUUUGUAUUGAAAAACGUUUACAAACUCAUAAGAUUGGAACUUCAUGAAUCCCCAACUGAAUUAACUAGUACACGCACUGACUUCGUCAAAAUAUAAAACGUCAAAAUAUAAAACCAAAAACAAAAUUGCAAUAUCGGAUUUAACAUUUUACCAAAAACAAACUGCAAUAUCGAAGUAUGUACUAUAAUGCUUUUAAUAGAUUGUUCUUUAAUAUCUGGCUUAUAUUACAAGUUAUAUUAUGAGUUAUUUUCAUGCUAGGUCACUUUCUCAGUUUAUAUUACACUUUAGAACACUUUCAACUACCAAGGUAGUUUUUACAUGGUUGUUUACCUUGUUGUCCUUGGUUAACCAAACGAGAAUAAGUGUUUAGUGGCUCCUCUUCUUCGGUUAAUAUUCUUUUUUAAAUAAAACAAUUAAAAAAUCUGGAACAUAAAGCAUAUUAAUAAAUUGGUUUUAACUUUCAUCUCUUAUCUUAUCUCUUUGCACGGUAACCAAAGCAAAACUUUGUUGAGAAAAGUUACGGAAAUUUACGACGGAGGCAAAGAGAUCUGACGACAGAGACAAUGGGCUAAGAUGGCAUUACGUCGGCAACGUUUGGGAAAGAUAGAUUCGACAGUGAACACCUUUUUUCUAUGGUGUGGACUUUGACUAAGUUGAAAUCGAGACUUGACGAUUUCCUCAAGUCAAGAUCAACAAGGCAGUUCGAAAACGACUUCAUUUUGAUCAGAUUCGUCAUCGACAAAGCUCCACCUACUCUGAUUCUGAGAAAUUUUGUCAGCGACUUGGGAUGAAUCUAGCUUGAGUUGACUCAGUAAGAGAUGAGCCCAGUAAUUUCAUGUGUAGUGUUGGUAGAGAGCGAGUGACGCAUCAGGCGUGGUGAGGAUAAGAGAGAGUGACGACUGAAAGGAGAGAAAACAACCAUAUAAAAGCCAUAGUGCAUCACACCAAAAUUGAAGUGUUAAAAAAGAGCCACUCAAUAAGCUAUCAAUGUAAUUGACAGCCACAUCUGCUCCUUCUAAGCUUUUUUUUAAUCCUGUCAUAGUUAAAGAUAGUUUGUUUAUUGUUUGUAAUUUAAGGAAUUCAGUAACAUGAAUCUGUGGCUCUAAUAAAAUUAUAUGGACAACAAUUACUGUACACUAAGAUGAUGAGUAUAUGAGUGUCCAUAUGGAUACAAUAGUUCUUGUACACCUUUUAUAGUGUCCACAUGGAUACUUUAAAAUUUCGACCUUUUUUAAUGUCCAUAAUGAUAUGGAAUUAUGGAUACAUAGUUCUUGUGCACUUAUCUCUAUUUCUCUAAACUUGUUUCCAUCUCAUGAUCUUCAAACCUUACCCGAUAAGCUAACAUAUAUAUUUGAUACUCAUUCCAAAAAAGAAUUUUAGAGUGUACAUGUGUACAAGAGUUGUUGUGUACAUAUGUUUUUGUACAUAUGUACAAGAUUGUAUCUUCUUGGUGUACACAUAUAUACAAAUGUAUAUUCAAACAACAUCAAAAAACAAAUUCAUGAUUUAAGUGGUCCAUCUGCAAAGUAUAUGGCAAUAAUACAAGCACAAUAACUCAGAUAUAUAAACUCUAGAUGCCAAACAAAGUUUAUUCUCCACCAAAAGACGUUACAUGAUUCCAACAAUGAGGCGUUAAACAAUCAAAAGUUCCAACAAUGGGAGUUUGGCUCCUAGUCUAGCUCACAUACUUGCGAUUAAAACUCAAAAAGAGAGAAGCUUUUCUUCUCUAUCUCUCUAAUGUGUAAACUGUAAUAAAUUAAGCUGUAAGCUGUAACCUUUCUGAGUGAGCCACCGUCGCGAAGCCCCAGAACUGGUAAAUUCAUGCAAGACGAAAAAGCAAAACGAAGAUUCUUGUCUUUUCAUGUUCUCAAGCUCAGUUCGUGAGCAGGGACAUAAUCUAAACGAGGAAUUGACAGAGUGAGGGCAUCUUAAGUUCAGUUCGUGUACUCAAAGCGUCUCCAUUUCUUCAAAUCAAUUACCAAACUCUUGUAUUGAAGUAGAAAGGUGAACAUGUCUCGGAGAUGAGAAAGUGGAAGAAGAUGCUCUCAGGAUAAAGUGGGAGUUGGAGGAUGGAGUUGACGGCUGCGACUGAGCGAUUCUGAAAUCAACGCCGGAGAAGGGUUGCAGAUGACGGAAUUAACGCCGGAGAAUCUAUGUGGAUGAAAGAAGGAGGGCAGACGCCGGAAUCAACGCCUGAGAAUGUGCAUCGACGGGCAGACGCCGGAAUCAACGCCAACAUUUUGUUUGUUUCGGAGGCAAGCGAAUGGAUAUCGGAGGCAGGGUGUCGUAGAGGUAAAUGAUUUAAGGCUACCUCUCUCAAAAAAAAAAAUUAAAGGAUUUUCUUUUACAGAAAGUAAAAGUGCGAAGUCAUUGUGUUUGCCGACAAUGUGUUUUGAGUUUCUUGGUAAGGAUAAAACUAGGUUAAGUAAACUGAGAAAUAAAAAGGGUAGGGUUGUCAUUUUGUAUAAUCAAUGUGUAUAAUUUAGUGUGAGAAAGUACCUUAGGAGUGAAAAGUGACUUACCGUGUAAUAUAAAAGAGGAAAAGUGACCUCUGGUGUAAAUGUUUCUUAUAUUAUCCCCUGUACAUUAAAAAAGAAGUCACUUUAGUGAUUUCUGCUGACAUUACAUUAAUAUAGAGCUUCUCAGAAAAUUUGUUAUAA
Molecule: long non-coding RNA, 4457 nt
Organism: Brassica napus (rape)
Lineage: Eukaryota; Viridiplantae; Streptophyta; Magnoliopsida; Brassicales; Brassicaceae
Exons: 2
Source: RefSeq, a predicted model, not a curated record